Molecule: ribosomal RNA, 253 nt
Filed under: uncultured microorganism
Description: partial 16S ribosomal RNA
Rfam family: Bacterial small subunit ribosomal RNA
Source: RNAcentral
UACGUAGGGUGCGAGCGUUAAUCGGAUUUACUGGGCGUAAAGCGUGCGCAGGCGGCCCGUUAAGACAGGUGUGAAAUCCCUGGGCUCAACCUAGGAAUUGCGCUUGUGACUGGCGGGCUCGAGUACGGUAGAGGGGGGUGGAAUUCCUGGUGUAGCAGUGAAAUGCGUAGAGAUCAGGAGGAACACCGAUGGCGAAGGCAGCCCCCUGGGCCUGUUCUGACGCUCAUGCACGAAAGCGUGGGGAGCAAACAGG